AAUUCAGAAACUCUUGACUGCUGGAGGCUGUGAUUGACCCACUGAGAGCUUUUAGGCAUGUGGAUGUGACUCAGCCAGGAUCGAUGGAGCAUUGACUGCUGAUUGGACUCCUGUGGGAAGGAUGAAGACAUGAAGAGAAAGUUUCAAGAUCUUCUGUGUGAGGAAAAUGAAUCCACAGCUCUACUCCAGGUUCUAGCCCAGCCUUCUACUAGUCGAAAGUGGCCUCAUGAAGGGGAAGCCGAGGGUGCCGAGACCACAAAGCGCCCGGCUGUGUGUGCUGCUGUGUUGUGAACUCCAUGGUUUGAACAUGAAAGAAAUGUACCUUCUUUCACUCUGUCAUCUUUCUUUUCUUUGAGUCUGUUUUUUAUAGUGUGUAUUUUAAUUAUGGAAAUAAUUGCUUUUUCACAGUCACUGAUGUACAAUUAAAAACCUGAUGGAACCUGG
Molecule: long non-coding RNA, 444 nt
Filed under: Homo sapiens (human)
Lineage: Eukaryota; Metazoa; Chordata; Mammalia; Primates; Hominidae
Description: non-protein coding lnc-LINC02203-22:7
Source: RNAcentral